This 459-nucleotide ribosomal RNA is filed under the name uncultured bacterium. Its description in RNAcentral is "partial 16S ribosomal RNA". It matches the Rfam family "Bacterial small subunit ribosomal RNA", at positions 338 to 795 of the family's 1533-position model. The record is from RNAcentral.
CCUACGGGGGGCAGCAGUGAGGAAUAUUGGUCAAUGGCCGGAAGGCUGCACCAGCCAAGCCGCGUGAAGGACGAAGGUGCCAAGCAUUGUAAACUUCUUUUGUCAAGGGACAAUAUCAGGCUCGAGAGCCUGACCGAGGGUACUUGAAGAAAAAGCAUCGUCUAACUCCGUGCCAGCAGCCGCGGUAAUACGGAGGAUGCGAGCGUUAACCGUAUUUAGUGGGUUUAAAGGGUGCGUAGGCGGACUGUUAAGUCAGCGGUAAAAGCCCGGGGCUAAACCCCGGCUAGCCGUUGAAACUGGCUGUCUUGAGAUGUCGAGAGGUAUGCGGAAUGCGCAGUGUAGCGGUGAAAUGCUUAGAGAUUGCGCAGAACUCCGAUUGCGAAGGCAGCAUACCGGCGGCGAUCUGACGCUGAGGCACGAAAGCGUGGGUAUCGAACAGGAUUAGAUACCCUAGUAGUC